RNAcentral lists this ribosomal RNA (516 nucleotides) under uncultured cyanobacterium. RNAcentral describes it as "bacterial SSU rRNA". It matches the Rfam family "Bacterial small subunit ribosomal RNA", at positions 366 to 896 of the family's 1533-position model. Lineage: Bacteria; Bacillati; Cyanobacteriota. The record is from RNAcentral.
CCGUCAAUGGGCGAAAGCCUGACGGAGCAAGACCGCGUGAGGGAAGAAGGUCUGUGGAUUGUAAACCUCUUUUGAUAGGGAAGAAGUUCUGACGGUACCUAUCGAAUCAGCCUCGGCUAACUCCGUGCCAGCAGCCGCGGUAAUACGGAGAGGCAAGCGUUAUCCGGAAUUAUUGGGCGUAAAGCGUCCGUAGGUGGAUGUUCAAGUCUUCUGUCAAAGCGCGGAGCUUAACUCCGUAAAGGCAGAGGAAACUGAGCGUCUAGAGUGCGAUAGGGGCAAGGGGAAUUCCCAGUGUAGCGGUGAAAUGCGUAGAUAUUGGGAAGAACACCGGUGGCGAAAGCGCCUUGCUGGGUCUGCACUGACACUGAGGGACGAAAGCUAGGGGAGCGGAAGGGAUUAGAUACCCCUGUAGUCCUAGCUGUAAACGAUGGGUACUAGGCGUUGUCCGUAUCGACCCGGGCAGUGCCGUAGCUAACGCGUUAAGUACCCCGCCUGGGGAGUACGCUCGCAAGAGUG